This is a long non-coding RNA of Sinocyclocheilus rhinocerous, 89 nucleotides long. RefSeq lists it as uncharacterized. The record is from RefSeq and is a predicted model, not a curated record. The transcript is spliced from 3 exons. Lineage: Eukaryota; Metazoa; Chordata; Actinopteri; Cypriniformes; Cyprinidae.
GCACCGUCUGGAUGAGGCUGAGAAUCUGGCCAUGAAGGGAGGAAAGAAACAACUCCAGAAACUGGAGAGUAGGGCGCAUGAGCUGGAGG